Molecule: long non-coding RNA, 1522 nt
Organism: Fukomys damarensis (Damara mole-rat)
Lineage: Eukaryota; Metazoa; Chordata; Mammalia; Rodentia; Bathyergidae
Exons: 2
Source: RefSeq, a predicted model, not a curated record
AGUCUGAAAUAGCCUUACUUGGCUAACAAGAAGAUACUGUCAUUGUCAUACUCUUUCUGGAAGAUGUAGGGAAGAGUCUGUUUCUUAGCCUUUUCCAGCUUCUAGAAGUUGCCUGUAUUUAUUGGCUCAUGAUCUCUUCCUUCAUUUUCAAAGCUAAUGGUGUAGUAAAUGUUACCUGUAGAACUUUUCUCAUGUCCAUGCCCCCUUUUUAACAUUGAUUGUGAUCAUGUGUGAAUAUGUACAAACUUGACAAAAUGCAUACAUGGAAUAGAUUUAGUUUUUGUUAAUUAUAUAUUAAUAAAACUUAUAAUAUGAAAAUGUCAGAUGCAUUGCAUCUUUCCAUCUUGUCUUGACUCUAACUUUCCUGCCCUCCUCUACCAUGUAUAAAAAUGCUUAGGAUUACAUUGGCUUCACCUGAAUAACAGAGUAAUCCCUAACUAAAUGUCCUUAACUUAAUCCCAGCUACAAACCCCUCUGAGCCAUAAAGGAUAACAUAUCCACAGGUUCUAGGGAUUGGAAGGUGAACAUGCUGCAGGGGCCAUUGUUCUGCCUACCUUAAAGACUAAGAAUAAAAAUACGAGUUACAGGAGAUGUCAAAGAUAGGUGUUGACAGCCAAGAACACACACAAAAAAUUUUCUGCCAAGAUUUGAACGUUGAUUCAUUUAUUGAAAUUUUACAAUCAAAUAAUAGUUAUGAGCUGAAUAAGAUGACAAUCUUUUCAAAUUUUAAUUAUUUGCUAAAUUUUUAGUGGACCUCUACCAUGUUCCAAGUACUGAGGUAUGCACUGAGGACCCCAUGGCUUGAUGGAACAAUGGAUGGAUCAAUGUUGCAGUGGACAAGUGACUCUUGCAAGGAAGCUGUGUGCAGGCGUGGGGACAUGAUGAGAACACCAUGAGACACAUCAUGAAAAUAUGAAGUGUUUAUUUGGGCAUCAGUGGGAGUGUGAUAAGAACCAUUCAAGAGAGAUAAAAGUUUAGUUAGCCUUGAAAGAUGACAAGAUAGUAACUUAGUCAGAAAAAACAAAAACAAGAUGAUCUCCCACAUCCCAGGUGAUCACAGAGUCUAUGGAUUCCCUGCACUGGUACCUGUGCUCAUGCUUAUCAGGCAGAAAUAUCCAUGGCUUUGAGGGAGAGAAAACCAUGCCUCCUCCUUUCACACAAAACUUUUCUCUUGUCACUGAACUUGAGCCAAUAAAUAUUUUCUGAAUCCUAGACUUGGAGGCCACCCUACAAGUGUCCAUUGCAAUAUGCCUUCUCAGAUGGAAACAUAAUUAGAACAGAGAUGGUUUCCAAGCCUUUCUGCUGCCCAGAGGAAAAUCAGCUCAAGGAAAGAAGCUGUGUUUUUUCUUCUACAAGAUAUGAAAAUAGUCUCCAAAGGGUUGCAAGGUUUAUCUAAAGCCACAGGAUGGAUGAAGACUGCUUAGCCCACAGCUGGAAUCUGAAUGUCUGGACUUUUAGUCUAAAAUCAUCUGCCUAGAAGAAAGGAAGGGGAAGAUAUCAGGACAUUGCUUAAGGCUUAAGG